GGCGUGGCAUAGUGGUUUGGGUGUUGGACUGUGACUUUGAAGACCUGGGUUCAAACCCCAGCUUGGCCA
Non-coding RNA from Phrynosoma platyrhinos (Desert horned lizard), 69 nucleotides. Lineage: Eukaryota; Metazoa; Chordata; Lepidosauria; Squamata; Phrynosomatidae. The record is from the annotation of a GenBank genome assembly.